Gordionus sp. m RMFG-2023 is the source of this 1468-nucleotide long non-coding RNA. RefSeq lists it as uncharacterized. The transcript is spliced from 3 exons. The record is from RefSeq and is a predicted model, not a curated record. Lineage: Eukaryota; Metazoa; Nematomorpha; Gordioida; Chordodea; Parachordodidae.
AAAAAUCACUUUUAAACGUUUUAAUAUUAAUUUUUAAAAAAAUAUAAAUUUGAUUCUUUAUAUUUAUUGAAAUAUAAAAUUAAAUUAAAAAUAGUUUAAAAAUAGUUUAAAAAUACCCUGGAUUGUCCCAAAUUUUGAAUUGUGAUAAGAAGCAACAAAAGUCGAGAUCAAGGCUAAUAUUAUCAAAAAAAAAGAACACGUGUUAAUUAGCAAAGGAGCGCGAACCUAAAAUAUUUUUGAAAAAAAAUACAAAAAAAAUGCAACUCACGAAGGAUUCUGCCUAUUUUUCGAGCAUUCUUAUUUUAGUGAUUUUUGCGAUGUCCAGUUUAAUUUGCUUCUCCAAUGGUGCCAUGAUCAAACGCUACGCUGAAGAAUCCAAUACGGCUCCAUGGGGCGAGGAAAACCGGGGCUAUAUAUACCCAGAUAUUCCUUACGAUGAGAUAAGAAGCAUGAUGAACUUCCUGGAUCGGAAUCGAGAUUACAAGGGGUCCAAAAGGGGAAUGCCUUUGAGAUUUGGCAGGGGAGGGCCUCCUUUAAGAUUCGGUUAAUUUUCUUAAAUUCAAAACAACAAAAAAACAUAUUUUUCAUUCUUUAUUAUAAUUAUAUUUACAUAUAUAUAUAUACAAAUAAUAACGUGUUUUUGUUUAUUUUAUAUUUUAAAAAAAUAAUAUUAUAAAAAUGUUUUUUAAAUUAUAUAUAUAUAAGUAAAGUUAAAAUUCUACGUCCAAAAUUGAUGAUAUACUUUUUUUUGUUAAUCAAUAAUAUAUUAAGAAAUAUAAGUAGUAUUGCUAAAAAGCCCAAUUAGGGUAGAUUUUUUUAAAAAUAGACUGCAUGUAACCCAAAAUAACACUGUGUAAGCUUAAAGGCGCUCAUAGCAGGAAUGCUUGGGCAUCUUAUUUGCCAAAUCUUGAAGCUUAGCUUAGAUAAUAAAGUUAGCUAAAAAUCUUAAUUCGGCUUUUUAACAACACUAGGAAUAAUUAGGGAUGUUAUUAAAAAAAACGAAGAAAAUUAAAAGCGUUAUAAAAAAAAACGCGGGAAUUUUUUUUUUAUUAUUAUUAUGAAAAAUUUUGAAAAUAACUUGGAAAUUAAAUCUUAUUUAGCAAUAUGAAUGUGAUAAUGAAAAAUGUUUAACCAAUGUUUUGGUUAAAUUAUAUUAUCGGAGAGAUGCUAGCUAUAAUGAAGCAUUUGCAUUGUAUACCACCGAAAUGAUUGGCGUUCCUUCAUUCACUUAUAUUACUGUCAGUCAAAAAAUAUAUUUCGGAAAAGGUUCCAUUCCAUUAAUAUAUUAUUCAUUACCACAAAGAAAAUAAAUAAAAUAAAUCAGUUUUGGAAGUAAAAUAAAAAAUAAAAUUAAAAUAAUCAAAAAUAUAUUUGUAAACAUAUUUUAUUAUUUAUUUUAUUUUGUAAAGAAUUUGGAUAUCGUUUUUUUUAAUAUAAAUUAUAUUCUCAUAUUAGAUAAAUUAUUUUU